CUUGCUUUCUUUGCCGGCGACCGGCGCACGGGUGAGUAACACGUAUCCAACCUGCCCUUUACUCGGGGAUAGCCUUUCGAAAGAAAGAUUAAUACCCGAUGGCAUAAUGAUUCCGCAUGGUUUCACUAUUAAAGGAUUCCGGUAAAGGAUGGGGAUGCGUUCCAUUAGGUUGUUGGUGAGGUAACGGCCCACCAAGCCUUCGAUGGAUAGGGGUUCUGAGAGGAAGGUCCCCCACAUUGGAACUGAGACACGGUCCAAACUCCUACGGGAGGCAGCAUG
RNAcentral lists this ribosomal RNA (279 nucleotides) under uncultured bacterium. RNAcentral's name for it is "partial 16S ribosomal RNA". It matches the Rfam family "Bacterial small subunit ribosomal RNA", at positions 75 to 353 of the family's 1533-position model. The record is from RNAcentral.